Long non-coding RNA from Pseudopipra pipra, 5314 nucleotides. RefSeq lists it as uncharacterized. The record is from RefSeq and is a predicted model, not a curated record. The transcript has 2 exons. NCBI's taxonomy places the organism in Eukaryota, Metazoa, Chordata, Aves, Passeriformes, Pipridae.
CAGCUCCACGUGCUUGAACUCGAAGGGGAUGUUGUUGCUCCGCGCGAAGAUGUAGAUGGAGCGGCAGGGCUGCGAGAGCAGGUCCAGGUACAUCUGUUCCACCAUACCCUCAGGAAACCUUUGCUCUUGUCUGGAAAACUCUGAACAGAGAUGGAGAAGGCAGCUCUGACUGGCCCCCGUUUCCACACAGACUGAAUCACCUCAGUCCUCAAGCAGAUCCAGUGGUGCUGGAACAUGAAAGAAAAGCCUUCAGGGCUACAGCUCCCAUGCUGCAGUGCACAAGAGGAGAAAGCAGCUCACAGCAGUUUAAAAUGUAUUUUUCUUUCCUUCUAAGUUGCAGAAAGGCUGUGAGUAAAGGCAAGUGCAUUUUGUGGAAUAGUGUUUCUGUGUGAUUUUUAGAAGAAAUGCUGAAAGACUGCAAUAAGCCUUCAUAAAAUAAUCUAUUUUAUUAGAGCAUAAUCCUCUAAUUCUGGCUGACCUGCUUUAGGAGCUGCUGCUUGAAACUCUCCAGCAGUUCAGGUGCAAACUGAUCAGCGGUUAAGUUCUUAAUGUUCAUGAUCCCUUCAUGGGCUUCCUGGAAGAGCUCCUUCCCCACAGCUUCUUCCACCCGCCUGCGCCACUCCGCCAACUUUGGCCUCUCCUCAAAGAGGUUGUAGCCAGCACCUACAGGCUGCAGGGAGAGAGAGCACCUGGGAGUGAGUCAAACAAGGCAUUUACCAGGGAUGGAACCAAAGGAAGGACCAAUAGGCUUUUGGCUCCAGGCAGCAGUCAGUCAUCACAUUGGGUGGAGCUCAUCUCUGGUUCUUAGCUCAUAGGAAGCAAGUGGUGACAUCCUCAGCAGCUGCUGUCCCCAGAGACAUGCAGCAAACAGCUCUGCCAUGGCUAACCCCAGAACUGUCUAAUACAGAACAUGGAGGUUCAUGCACACCAGCACAUCUCUUCCAAAUAUCUUUACUUUCUCUGCCUAGUUUGUAAUUUAUCUUCUUUGACCAUAUUUGACCAUAUUUCUAUAGAAAGAACUGUGUCAUCAGAGUAGGUGUUCCCUGGCAAACUUAAUUAGGGUCAAAGUCAAAAAGGAACAAGACUUAACCCCAUGGAAGGGUUAACUGCAGGGAGCUCUGCUGUUACCAAGGUGGUGGUGCAGCAGCCACCCCUUGGCCUGGCCUGCCCACAGCCCAACCCACAUACCCAGCAGCAGGUUGAUGCUCACCUGCAUGAGCUCCACCAGUGCUACGAGGUCUGCCAGGGAGAUCUCGCUGCCUGCGAUGAAGGGCUUGUCCUGCAAGAACUUCUCUUCAAACUGCUUUAGGACAACAUUGAGGUCCUCAAUAAGAAAUUCCAGUUUCUCUGCAGAAAGUGGCUGGCCUGUGAGGAUAGGCAGCAGCACCUGGCAGGGAGAAGAAACAAGUUGCUCUUUAAGUGAUUCCUUACAAACCUGGUCAUCACCCUCUCUUUGCCCCCCUCUGAGGAUCCCUCACCAGCCAGGCAAGAGAACAACUGGAACUGCUCAUCUCCCUUGCCAGGUCAACAUUAAUGUCAGUCACUACUUCCUGCCUCUCCUUGUCUCCUCCCUAGAAAUCUGAAAUUUCAACCACAAGAAUCUCCUCUCAAGGGAAGACUGCAUCAUCUGCCAGCAACUGUGUUUUGUUUUCCAGUAGGAGGUUGGUUCUUUCCAUGAAGCCGAGCAGCAGGCGCUGAGCUGUGUCUGGUGAGAGCUGCUCACCCAGGAUGAGUUUGCUCUGGGUCUCACAGAGCAGUGGCUGCACCAUGAGGGAUUCAGGCCACUUCAGUUAGGCUCAGCUGAGCAGCCAAGUCAAUUCCAGAUCUAGUUUUGUUCCAAUUUGUCACCUGACUUGUACAUUUGCUCGGGAAGGCCCUGCACACAGGUGGGCCGUUGCACUCACAGCUCUUAGCACUUAACUUUUGGUAUAUGAUGGUCUCACCUUCGAUAGGAACACCUUGCUCCCCUUCGCACGGAUGUUGGCGUGCUGCCAUGACAGGUACUCAUCAACCCUCGCCCUUUUCUGCAGGUCAGAUGGGUACCAGUGAUCAGGAGUCUUGAAUUUCUGGGCGAGGUACAGGAGGAUUGCAAUGCUGCCCAAAGAGCGAGACAGACCAGUGAGCUGAUCACCUGAGAGUAAAGCACCUCAUCCUUUCUUCUCCCCCCAAACUGUGCACUGCUGGACAAGCAGCAACACAAGCCUGAUCCGAGUCAGGUAGAAGUGCAGGACAUGGAACUGCCAGCAAGGCACAGCACAGGAGAGAGUUUGUGCUGGCUCAACCAGCUGCUUGUGGGCAGCAAUUAUCUGAUACAUCCGCCCAGCGAGACAGACGUGGCCUGCUGGCACAGUUACCCCAUUGAGCAAAUAGGAGCUGCAGAAUGAGUUUAUACCAAAGCUGACCUUCACAGUGCCUGGCCAUUCAGCAGCAGGUGCCUUAUGUCGGAUUUCCUGCACUGACCUACAGCCUCCAGCUGCUGGCAGAGAGCAGGAGGACACGUGGACAGGUAUUUAAGCUCGGAAACACUGCCUACAUGCAAGGUAGUCCGAGCAGCAGCCCACUGAUCUCUGCACUAUCAAUGCUGUUUGAGUUGUUUACAUUAGAAGGAUUCUCUUGAAACGUAGGUUUGUUGUGUACAAGUGGAACCAACAGGAAGGAAGAAAAAAACUGCCUGGGCUGGAGUCCCAGCAGUGCCCUGGCAGAAUCCAAGCUUUGGGAUAAACAAUACUGCAGGUAGGGGUUGAGCUUAUUUGAGCCUCACCUCUCUGCUAAGGUGAAAGAACCAUCCCUUAGUGCAGGCACCUUCAUCAGGACAUUCACCUUCCGGAACUCCUCCGUCUUGUGCUGCCCUGAGGAGGGAAAUGAGAAGUUUUACUUGGCAGGGAUAGUCAGGACUUGUCUGCAACGCUUGUGGGGACCAUUUGGCCUCAAGUUCCUGGUUUUGAUUGUACAAAUACAGUCUUGUAUCAAGCUUAUAACCAAUCAAUAAGUGCUGCAGGGUGAAUAGGGGGGUUGCCCUAUGGUAUCACCUUAUUGCUUAUUGUCUGCAUACCAGACCCACCUCUUGACCACAGGCAGAAUGGCUAGGAGUCCUUUCAUACCAACAGUGCUUGUCUACUCAGGGCUCUAUCAGCUCCAAGUUUGUGCCUGGAGGUACCUGUCCUGUACAAACCCAGAGUGAGCACUGAGUGCCUUAGAGGAAAGGGAUCUCACUAUCAGAAACAUCACCAACAUGGACAGUGAGAAAGCAGUUUAUUUUUUUUUUCCUGGAUGAUAAUGUAAUUUAUAUUCAACUCUCUUUUUAGUCCUCGGAUGAAAAUAAAUUUCUGUGAUUCCAUAUAAAGAUGGUACUUCAUUACAGUCAGCUCCUGUGCACUUUGUCAUAUCUUUUGUCAGAGAAAAUAUGGAUUUGUUGCUUUUAAGCUAUCUUGUACGUCCCCCCUGAAAGGCAGGCAGAGUGAAUCUGACAGGAGAAGGUGCUUUGUUCAUUUGAGGUCUCAACAUGCUCUGUUGUGUCUGGACCCAGUCCCAGAAGCCUUGUUUUAUGUGACUUGUUUGUGCUGGCCUUUUCCAACCACUGGCUUCAGUCACACAUGUGUACCUGUGUAUUCAAGCCUCUCUAAUGUGUAACUAGCCUUGUGCCAUCUCCUGCUAUGUGAGUCACCUGAGAAUCUGUGUGCCAGAGGAGAUGUUCUGGAAGUGAUUUUAGCUUUCCCAGUACCUGGCAAACCAGCUUUGUGACUACUCCCCCUGUCACUUGGCUCACAGCCCAUCUCCCCCACCCCCUUUCAAAAAGAUGAAGUGUGAAGAUUCCAGGUCCUCUCAGGUGUCCUUUGAAUGUCAUGUGAUUUCUAUCCAUUCUCACUCUUUCCACCCCUUUCCCUGAGACCUGCCCUACUGGGGGCCCUGGAGCUUUUCUGAAGGGACACAUUCAGUGCACCAGCUCAGUUCUGAGUAUCGAUUCCCUCUCCUGGUCCUCACAUGCUGUGCAGUGAUGGGUACUAGUGCAACAAGGCCUCCCACACUGUGUCCCAGGGCGACCUAACCCAGCUGCAGGUACCUGGAGCCCUUCCCUGUGGUAUGGGAGGUGCACGCACUGGAGGAAUGGGAUGGGAUGCACUUUUAGCAUUCCCAUAGGCCAAAUAACCCAUCUUAAAUGCACUGGCCAAAAGCAGGCACUGAUGCCACGGGGCACAGAGCACUGGGAAACUGUGACUUAAUUAAUUUUCCUUCCUCUCAGUUCCCUGAUACCUUGUCAAUUCCAGUUGUUCCAUUCUCCUUGAUGCUCUCAUUGCUUGCCUGCCAUCUCCCAACAGUUUAUUUAUUGGGAAAGAAGGGUAAGGACACAAGAUGAGCCUGCCCCCAGUUACAAACAAUUGCAAAAAUUUUUGCUAUGAAAUAGGUGGGAGGAAAAGCCACAGCAAGGUACAACCAACGCACAGCUAAGGUGUGCAGGGGAACACCCAGAGACUAAACCACAUCACCCCUGAGAUCUGAGUCACAACUUGGAGCCUCUUUUGUUCCCUUAUCAAUUUCAGCCCCAGAAGCCUUCUCACUGUUUUUAAGCAUUACUUACUGAGGCAUUGUUAUGCCCAAUACAUUACCUUAAUUUCAAAUCCAGCAGAGCUCUGGAAAGGUUGAAAGACAGCUUUUACCAGCUUCAGUUACAAAGAAAGAAGAUGCAGAUCUUUGGGCAUCCUUUGGUGAAAACACACAAUACCCCUUGGACAGGCUCCUAUCAGUUAUCAGUUGGUUUUAGCCCAAAUAAAACCACUUUCCUUUCUUCAUUUAUCAGUGUUCAGAUCACUGGCAGCUGCAUUGUCUCGCUCCACAGCCUUCACAAGUCUGCCCUCAACCCUCUCAAAAUAACCUGGCUACAAACUGCCUGACCCAAUGGAACCCCCAGAGGGACAGCCAACUGCCCUGCCCUGCCUGCACAUGGGGACACAUGGGCAGUGAGGACCCUCAUACAUGAGGACCCUCCCACGGGGCUGUUAACCCCUGCCAAGAGGAAAAGAGCUGCUCUGCAGCAACUGCUGCUGCUUACUGGAGCACAAAGCUUUUUAAAGAAGUUUAAUUAGGGAACAAGAACUGCACACCUCGGCUGUCCUCGCCCAUACAUGUAUGUCCCACCUCUGAAUUUCUGUUUUCCAUUAACGGGGGAAUGCCCUCAGACCUGGCACAUCCUGAGCGCUUCUCAGAAAAGCCUCUUUUAUCAGACUCACUUUCUGCUGGGGUGGAGCCGAUUUCAAAGAUACCACACGCCUUUGCAGAGUCCUCUUUGUUGCAGAGGAACAGAGGUACUGAGAUGACU